Molecule: ribosomal RNA, 460 nt
Filed under: uncultured bacterium
Lineage: Bacteria
Description: partial 16S ribosomal RNA
Rfam family: Bacterial small subunit ribosomal RNA
Source: RNAcentral
CCUACGGGUGGCAGCAGUGAGGAAUAUUGGUCAAUGGACGAGAGUCUGAACCAGCCAAGUAGCGUGAAGGAUGACUGCCCUAUGGGUUGUAAACUUCUUUUAUAUGGGAAUAAAAUGUUCCACGUGUGGGAUUUUGUAUGUACCAUAUCAAUAAGGAUCGGCUAACUUCGUGCCAGCAGCCGCGGUAAUACGGUGGGUCCGAGCGUUAUCCGGAUUUAUUGGGUUUAAAGGGAGCGUAGGUGGAUUGUUAAGUCAGUUGUGAAAGUUUGCGGCUCAACCGUAAAAUUGCAGUUGAAACUGGCAGUCUUGAGUACAGUAGAGGUGGGCGGAAUUCGUGGUGUAGCGGUGAAAUGCUUAGAUAUCACGAAGAACUCCGAUUGCGAAGGCAGUUCACUGGACUGCAACUGACACUGAGGCUCGAAAGUGUGGGUAUCAAACAGGAUUAGAUACCCUUGUAGUC